Protopterus annectens (West African lungfish) is the source of this 1230-nucleotide long non-coding RNA. RefSeq lists it as uncharacterized. NCBI's taxonomy places the organism in Eukaryota, Metazoa, Chordata, Ceratodontiformes, Protopteridae. The record is from RefSeq and is a predicted model, not a curated record. The transcript is spliced from 3 exons.
UAGGCAGAUGGUAGAUUGAUGUCGCCCUCAACACUCAAAGUUGAGGACCGCAAAAAAUGUCUUUCAAAGUUGAGGGCCUAAAGAAAAAUAGGAAGUACUUUGUUAAAGUGAGCUACUAAGUGCAUUCAUUUAGGCAGCUUUGAUAUCACCCACAACUUCUUAGAUAAAUCUGCACUCGCACAGAUCAGCAAAUGUUGAUCCAUGCCCCCUAACAGUUUGUGUCCUGCGCAUCCGUCCACUUUGCACUGCUUUAGUUUUAACUCUUCAUGUCAUCCUAUCAAUAAUUCUGUCUCUGACUAUCGUACAAUAAUGCCUAGUAUAUCGAUACACUUUGCUGUCUAUAAAGAAGCUUUUUAGCAUUCCCUCUGUAACUUUUAAAACCAUAAAGAAGGCCAGAAAAACACUGAACUACCAGUCUUUUUUGAUUUCUGUCAGCAUGGAUCUUUUCAUUUUGGCUCAGCAUCUCUGAAGCUGCAUGGUAACUUCUAUGAAAACUGGAAACUUUGGAUUCAAAAGUUGGAGUUGUAUCCCACUGGAAUACAGAAAUGGAAUUGCAGAAAACAACAAAAGAGCCCAGUUUACAUCAUUACUGUACAUUACAAGCAACGAUUUAAGGAAGAAAAGGACAGCCUUCAUCCUCUCUCCAUUCCAGUGCUCUUCCUGUGUCUACGGACAAUCAGUCGGAAAUAACCCCUUAUUAGGUGAUGUUAUUGUAUCUGUUUGCUUAGGGGAAAAUCAUGGCAGUAGAGAAGCACAGGGGUGAACAACAGCAGGCACUGAAGGAAACUAGUGUGAAUGCAGUUGCUUACAUCCGCACAGAUCAUAUGGCAGAAAUUGUGGAAGUAGUAAGCUUGUCUUUUGAAAAUCAAUGUUGUUCUUCAGUUAUGCUCUAUGAUAGCACUGGAGCAUUGUAUUACCUUAAAUUAGAAGUAACAAUUAACCAAGUUGGUCAAGCAUUUCUUCUAAAUAACUGUGACUGUUCAGAUGGCAGUCCUCUCUUCUGCUGCAGAGCGAUCUGAUUCACUGCCACUGCUGCUCUGUUUACUGAAAUCCUGAAUGAGUAUGUACCAGGUUAUCUCAGAGAGUUAAUGUUAUGAGCUGUUAAUGAGCUUCUUCCUGUACUCUUGGAUUUGAUUUUCUCCAUGUCCAUGUGCAAACUGUACAACUCUGAGCAAGUCACUUUAUCAGACAGUGCUCCUGGAUUGGCUUUUAUUUUGCCCAGUGGGUAUA